RNAcentral lists this ribosomal RNA (301 nucleotides) under uncultured bacterium. Its description in RNAcentral is "partial 16S ribosomal RNA". It matches the Rfam family "Bacterial small subunit ribosomal RNA", at positions 509 to 807 of the family's 1533-position model. The record is from RNAcentral.
CAGUCGCCACGGUAAUACGUAGGGUCCGAGCGUUGUCCGGAAUUAUUGGGCGUAAAGAGCUCGUAGGCGGUCUGUCGCGUCUGCCGUGAAAUCCUCAGGCUCAACCUGAGGCGUGCGGUGGGUACGGGCAGGCUAGAGUGCGGUAGGGGAGAAUGGAACUCCUGGUGUAGCGGUGGAAUGCGCAGAUAUCAGGAAGAACACCGAUGGCGAAGGCAGUUCUCUGGGCCGUAACUGACGCUGAGGAGCGAAAGCGUGGGGAGCGAACAGGAUUAGAUACCCCAGUAGUCCCUGUCUCUUAUAC